RNAcentral lists this ribosomal RNA (468 nucleotides) under uncultured bacterium. RNAcentral describes it as "partial 16S ribosomal RNA". It matches the Rfam family "Bacterial small subunit ribosomal RNA", at positions 34 to 507 of the family's 1533-position model. The record is from RNAcentral.
UCCGCCCGCUGGCGUCGUGCUUAACACAUGCAAGUCGAACGGAAAGGCCCUGCUUUUGUGGGGUGCUCGAGUGGCGAACGGGUGAGUAACACGUGAGUAACCUGCCCUUGACUUUGGGAUAACUUCAGGAAACUGGGGCUAAUACCGGAUAGGAGCUCCUGCUGCAUGGUGGGGGUUGGAAAGUUUCGGCGGUUGGGGAUGGACUCGCGGCUUAUCAGCUUGUUGGUGGGGUAGUGGCUUACCAAGGCUUUGACGGGUAGCCGGCCUGAGAGGGUGACCGGCCACAUUGGGACUGAGAUACGGCCCAGACUCCUACGGGAGGCAGCAGUGGGGAAUAUUGCACAAUGGGCGGAAGCCUGAUGCAGCAACGCCGCGUGCGGGAUGACGGCCUUCGGGUUGUAAACCGCUUUCGCCUGUGACGAAGCGUGAGUGACGGUAAUGGGUAAAGAAGCACCGGCUAACUACGUG